RNAcentral lists this ribosomal RNA (549 nucleotides) under uncultured bacterium. RNAcentral's name for it is "partial 16S ribosomal RNA". It matches the Rfam family "Bacterial small subunit ribosomal RNA", at positions 355 to 920 of the family's 1533-position model. The record is from RNAcentral.
UAGGGAAUCUUGCGCAAUGGGCGAAAGCCUGACGCAGCCAUGCCGCGUGAAUGAUGAAGGUCUUAGGAUUGUAAAAUUCUUUCACCGGGGACGAUAAUGACGGUACCCGGAGAAGAAGCCCCGGCUAACUUCGUGCCAGCAGCCGCGGUAAUACGAAGGGGGCUAGCGUUGCUCGGAAUUACUGGGCGUAAAGGGAGCGUAGGCGGAUAGUUUAGUCAGAGGUGAAAGCCCAGGGUUCAACCUUGGAAUUGCCUUUGAUACUGGCUAUCUUGAGUAUGGGAGAGGUAUGUGGAACUCCGAGUGUAGAGGUGAAAUUCGUAGAUAUUCGGAAGAACACCAGUGGCGAAGGCGACAUACUGGCCCAUUACUGACGCUGAGGCUCGAAAGCGUGGGGAGCAAACAGGAUUAGAUACCCUGGUAGUCCACGCCGUAAACGAUGAGUGCUAGUUGUCGGCAUGCAUGCAUGUCGGUGACGCAGCUAACGCAUUAAAGCACUCCGGCCUGGGGAGUACGGUCGCAAAGAUUAAACUCAAAUGAAUUGACGGGGUC